This 465-nucleotide ribosomal RNA is filed under the name Vreelandella stevensii. RNAcentral describes it as "partial 16S ribosomal RNA". It matches the Rfam family "Bacterial small subunit ribosomal RNA", at positions 338 to 795 of the family's 1533-position model. Lineage: Bacteria; Pseudomonadati; Pseudomonadota; Gammaproteobacteria; Oceanospirillales; Halomonadaceae. The record is from RNAcentral.
CCUACGGGGUGCUGCAGUGGGGAAUAUUGGACAAUGGGCGAAAGCCUGAUCCAGCCAUGCCGCGUGUGUGAAGAAGGCCUUCGGGUUGUAAAGCACUUUCAGUGGGGAAGAAAGCCUUGGGGCUAAUACCCUCGAGGAAGGACAUCACCCACGGAAGAAGCACCGGCUAACUCCGUGCCAGCAGCCGCGGUAAUACGGAGGGUGCGAGCGUUAAUCGGAAUUACUGGGCGUAAAGCGCGCGUAGGCGGUCUGAUAAGCCGGUUGUGAAAGCCCCGGGCUCAACCUGGGAACGGCAUCCGGAACUGUCAGGCUAGAGUGCAGGAGAGGAAGGUAGAAUUCCCGGUGUAGCGGUGAAAUGCGUAGAGAUCGGGAGGAAUACCAGUGGCGAAGGCGGCCUUCUGGACUGACACUGACGCUGAGGUGCGAAAGCGUGGGUAGCAAACAGGAUUAGAUACCCGAGUAGUC